AAAUUGAAGAGUUUGAUCAUGGCUCAGAUUGAACGCUGGCGGCAGGCCUAACACAUGCAAGUCGAACGGUAACAGGAAGCAGCUUGCUGCUUUGCUGACGAGUGGCGGACGGGUGAGUAAUGUCUGGGAAACUGCCUGAUGGAGGGGGAUAACUACUGGAAACGGUGGCUAAUACCGCAUAACGUCGCAAGACCAAAGAGGGGGACCUUCGGGCCUCUUGCCAUCAGAUGUGCCCAGAUGGGAUUAGCUUGUUGGUGAGGUAACGGCUCACCAAGGCGACGAUCCCUAGCUGGUCUGAGAGGAUGACCAGCCACACUGGAACUGAGACACGGUCCAGACUCCUACGGGAGGCAGCAGUGGGGAAUAUUGCACAAUGGGCGCAAGCCUGAUGCAGCCAUGCCGCGUGUAUGAAGAAGGCCUUCGGGUUGUAAAGUACUUUCAGCGGGGAGGAAGGUGUUGCGGUUAAUAACCGCAGCAAUUGACGUUACCCGCAGAAGAAGCACCGGCUAACUCCGUGCCAGCAGCCGCGGUAAUACGGAGGGUGCAAGCGUUAAUCGGAAUUACUGGGCGUAAAGCGCACGCAGGCGGUCUGUCAAGUCGGAUGUGAAAUCCCCGGGCUCAACCUGGGAACUGCAUUCGAAACUGGCAGGCUUGAGUCUUGUAGAGGGGGGUAGAAUUCCAGGUGUAGCGGUGAAAUGCGUAGAGAUCUGGAGGAAUACCGGUGGCGAAGGCGGCCCCCU
This 740-nucleotide ribosomal RNA is filed under the name Salmonella enterica. RNAcentral's name for it is "bacterial SSU rRNA". It matches the Rfam family "Bacterial small subunit ribosomal RNA", at positions 1 to 730 of the family's 1533-position model. The record is from RNAcentral. Lineage: Bacteria; Pseudomonadati; Pseudomonadota; Gammaproteobacteria; Enterobacterales; Enterobacteriaceae. RNAcentral also lists the same sequence under 1 other name.